UCCUAACCUUAAGGAUGAG
RNAcentral lists this microRNA (19 nucleotides) under Gallus gallus (chicken). RNAcentral's name for it is "gga-miR-454-5p". Its record names the gene gga-miR-454-5p. The record is from miRBase by way of RNAcentral. Lineage: Eukaryota; Metazoa; Chordata; Aves; Galliformes; Phasianidae.